ACCAUUUGACAGGAAUGCUCUGGAAGGGAUUCCUGGACUUGGCAGGAGAAUAAACCAGAAUCUAAUCAAAAGGUUUAGUAAAAAUGCUUUCCGAGUGCUAGAGACCAAUGGUCUUUGUCCAGCGACCCCCUCAGAUGGCUGUGAAUCACUGAAGACUCAGACUAAGCACCAGUGGGAUGGGUUGAGAUCAGCCUCUGUCUCUGGCCUCCUUGAGACUCAGCUCUUAAAUCUAAACGAACUGCCUGAUUGUGAGAGGCAGCAAGUCCCAUUCUCAGUGGUGAGUGACCCAUCUCCCCAUAGGCAUUUUUGUCCAAUGUUAGAUAUUUUCCAGUGGGUUCUUUGCACAUUGUCAAGCAAUACCUUUCUGCAUAAAGAGCAAGAUAUAUUCCACUCCUGGAGUUGGAAUCUUGAAUCAGUUAAUCCACAAAGUAGCUAAUUUACAGACACAUAGUCCCCAAGAUAGACUAGACUAGUCCAAGAUGAUGUAUGAGGCAGAAAGAGAGUCCAAAAGACACAUUUUCUUAUCCAGCUCUAAAGGACUGAAGUCUGUUAAUCAAUGAAUGAAGUUAUAUUGCCAUGCAAGGGCCACCUUAUUCGUUUCUUUAGCCUUCUGUAAGCCCAACUGUUUUAUUUUAGAGCUGAGAAACCAGAGGCCUGGAAAGACUAUGUGUUGUCCGACCUCACACUCUGAGUUGGGGUCUGCACAAGAAUGACAUCUUGUCUUGCUAACUGAGCUCUUCCCAGCUGUCUCCUAUCACAUUCCCUGUCACCUCCAGCCCCACCUGGCAGGCUGCUAUCUUUUCAGCAAAGGCUGAACGAGGCUGUGCUCACACCCCCUGUGAGAGGUGUCUGUGAUGCUCAUGUGUCGGGGAAGCUCUCACAGAAGUUCCUGCUUAUGCCAAAAACACCUUGGGAAUAAAGAAAGGUCCCCGUUCCAACACCUUCCUCUCAUACGAAGUAUGCAUGUGAGAAAAAGAAAAGAAAGAGAUUAAAAAUAAAACUCACAGACAUAGGAAUUCUCUGCUAUUGAGAGAAAUUCCUUAACACACAUUACUCAGGUAAUAAUUUCUUUGACUCCAUGGAAAAUUUUUAGCGCUAGAAAUAGGGCCUAAGAAAGCAAGUAGUCCAAAUCCUGUUAUUUACAAGUGGGCAAACUGGAGAUCAGAGUGAAGUGAGUUUGGUCAACCCGGUGAAUUUUUUGCUGAAUCAGAACACUGUUUCUUUCACAGGGGCUUUCUUGAGGUGGUGAGGGUUUGCAUGGAUGACAUAGAUUAAGUGACUAAAGAAGACUAAUGCAUCAUUCUUUUGAAUUCCAGCAAAGAAAUUGAGCUGCUUUCAUUAAAGCCUUUCUUUGAGGCCACUGGGUGAAAGGUUGGGGCUUGGACCAGGUAUGAUGGCUCACGGCUGUAAUCCCAGCACUUUGGGAGGCUGAGGCAGGCAGAUCACUUGGGGUCAGGAGUUCAAGACCAGCCUGGCCAACAUGGCAAAAACCUGUCUCUAACAAAAAUACAAAAAUUAGCCAGGCAUGGUGGUAUGCGCCUGUAGUCCCAGCUACUAGGGAGGCUGAGGCAGGAGAAUCACUUGAACCUGGGAGGCAGAGGUUGCAGUAAGCUGAGACUGUACCACUGCACUCCAGGCUGGGCAACAGAGUGAGACUCCAACUCAAAAAAAAAAAAAAAA
This 1680-nucleotide long non-coding RNA is filed under the name Macaca fascicularis (crab-eating macaque). Its description in RNAcentral is "lncRNA (ENSMFAG00000062194.1)". The record is from RNAcentral. Lineage: Eukaryota; Metazoa; Chordata; Mammalia; Primates; Cercopithecidae.